CAGUCGCCGCGGUAACACGUAGGGUGCAAGCGUUAAUCGGAAUUACUGGGCGUAAAGCGUGCGCAGGCGGUUUGUUAAGACAGAUGUGAAAUCCCCGGGCUCAACCUUGGAACUGCAUUUUUAACUACCGGACUAGAGUGUGUCAGAGGGAGGUGGAAUUCCGCGUGUAGCAGUGAAAUGCGUAGAGAUGCGGAGGAACACCGAUGGCGAAGGCAGCCUCCUGGGAUAACACUGACGCUCAUGCACGAAAGCGUGGGGAGCAAACAGGAUUAGAUACCCCGGUAGUCCCUGUCUCUUAUAC
RNAcentral lists this ribosomal RNA (301 nucleotides) under uncultured bacterium. RNAcentral's name for it is "partial 16S ribosomal RNA". It matches the Rfam family "Bacterial small subunit ribosomal RNA", at positions 509 to 807 of the family's 1533-position model. The record is from RNAcentral.